UGUUGUUGGUUUUUGUGACUGUAACCCACUUAACUGCUGGGCGGCAACCAACUAGUCAGUAAUAACUGCGAAAGACUUAAAGUAACAUAAAGUGAAGCAUACUGUCGAUGGUAUCCAAUGUUGUCUGUCGAGACUACAAAGAAAUUACCUCAUGAUGUUUUUCAAUGGUCGAACUGAGAUGGUAUUGGAUAAGAAUAUGAGACGAAA
Long non-coding RNA from Ipomoea nil (Japanese morning glory), 207 nucleotides. RefSeq lists it as uncharacterized. The record is from RefSeq and is a predicted model, not a curated record. The transcript has 3 exons. NCBI's taxonomy places the organism in Eukaryota, Viridiplantae, Streptophyta, Magnoliopsida, Solanales, Convolvulaceae.